Molecule: ribosomal RNA, 497 nt
Filed under: uncultured bacterium
Lineage: Bacteria
Description: partial 16S ribosomal RNA
Rfam family: Bacterial small subunit ribosomal RNA
Source: RNAcentral
GACGAACGCUGGCGGCGUGCCUAAUACAUGCAAGUUGAGCGCUGAAGGUUGGUACUUGUACCAACUUGAUGAGCAGCGAACGGGUGAGUAACGCGUGGGGAAUCUGCCUUUGAGCGGGGGACAACAUUUGGAAACGAAUGCUAAUACCGCAUAAUAACUUUAAACAUAAGUUUUAAGUUUGAAAGAUGCAAUUGCAUCACUCAAAGAUGAUCCCGCGCUGUAUUAGCUAGUUGGUGAGGUAAAGGCUCACCAAGGCGAUGAUACAUAGCCGACCUGAGAGGGUGAUCGGCCACAUUGGGACUGAGACACGGCCCAAACUCCUACGGGAGGCAGCAGUAGGGAAUCUUCGGCAAUGGACGAAAGUCUGACCGAGCAACGCCGCGUGAGUGAAGAAGGUUUUCGGAUCGUAAAACUCUGUUGGUAGAGAAGAACGUUGGUGAGAGUGGAAAGCUCAUCAAGUGACGGUAACUACCCAGAAAGGGACGGCUAACUACGUG